CACAAACACAGAGCUGGCGCCUGAGCGCCCUCUACUGUGCAGAAGUCGCCAGCUAGCAGCUCGGAUCUGUGAACCCUUCAUGUUUCUGGCCAGACUCAUUCAUUGGCUAAGCUCCCUUUGUGGGAACCACCAGUGUGGACAAGCAACUAAGGACUUGACCAGGAUCUCCAAGUUAACCCAAAACUCUGCGUGUGCGAGUGAGAAGCUGUCAGUUAGUGUCUUCUAGCUUUUUAUACAGUGGACAAGUGCGCGCCAGGGCCAUAGACAUGGAGCUACUGCAGAAAUGACACUGCGCCACGGAAAGACAGCUCAGAGAGCAGAGGUUUAGCGCCCUGGACCGUGCUGUCCUGGAACAAAACCUCUUACAAAAGGAACGCGAGUUCAACGGACAUUCCCUCAGAUUCCAAUUUGGCAGACCUCCAGAGGUGGGCUGUGUUGGGGUAGGGCGGAUGCCUUGAUCCACUUGCCAGGCCGAAAGCCUGCCUUGAUUAACGACAGCAUCUUUAUGCCUUCAAAAAUGGAAAGGAAUUGGAGGACUUUUCAGCGUUUGAAAAUGACAAAGAAGGUUUCCAAGAAACGGAAACCCGGGGUUUGCUUUGCAUUUCAUGCGUGUUCGCACAUGGAUGCCAGGCCUUUCUGUCAGCCUUUAGGAGGGCACCAUGAGUUCCAAUAAAACCCCACUGCAACCUGCCUGGAAGAAUCUGAUCCCCUCAGCAAAACGAAAGAACCGAGAAACAAGAUCCGUACAUGGUUUGAAAUCACUGUCGAAUUUCUGCCUGCACCUGCUUAUAGCCAAGUAGAACUUGGUUCUUUGGGAAAGUCUCAGUUACUCUUGCCCUGAGAAUCCAAAGCAUGGACCCUGACCUUUGAGAUUGGUCCCUGGACGAAGAGCAGCCCCACAGCGCCCCCUGCCGUGAAGAUGUGUCCUUCCUGGACCUCGGAGUCAGAGCUGGGGAUCCUGGGAGCUUUUGGCCUUCUGGCUCCUUCAUUGGUCCUGGCUCCAGCUAUGGCCCCUACAAGUGUGGACAAGGGGACAGGGGGACUAACUAGGGUGUUCCCAAGAUUGCAGGAUUCUCCAAAAGCUUGGGGUACGAGUGAGUCAACCGGGGUCAUCCUAUGGUUUCCCUGUCAGACAAGUGUAUUCUUGGGCCAUGGCCACAAGGCAACUUUGGAAACUACAGCGAGAUGGAAAAGACCAAGUGAGACCGAAUGGCAUUGGAGCCCUGGUCCGUGCUGAUCCCGAAAACCUUAGGAGAACAGAAAGGAAGGCAGCUGCAAUGGAGAUUGGUGUUUGCCCUGAGUUUGUUCUCUCCAAGUGUAAGAGGGGUCGGGGUGUCCCAAGUCUUGGCACACUUGCCGGAAAAGAAAGUCGUUUGCCAACAGUAGACACUAUGAAAUCUACUUUUAAAAACGUCUGGAGGCUGAAAGGACAAGAAAACAAAACGAAACCAUGGCACUCAUGUCCUCACACCAGGGCGCUAGUCCCUUUGGGCAGCGUUUAGGUGAACAUCUUGCCAACCCUGAGUUCACACAGAAUCCCACCUCUGCCUGCCUGGCAGAGUCUGUCCUGCCAGCAAAGUGAAUGCACGGAGAAACAAAACCACGUAUGCAGUUUGAAAUCACCAUCGGAUUUAAGCGCGGCUGCUGAGAGGUAAGCAGAACUUGGCUUGGGGAGACAAAUCAUAGCUACUAGAAAUUGUGGGUCCAGAGUGAAAGCACUGAGGUUGCCACCAACGGGAAUGAGGGCACCGUCAAGACUCUGCCGUGAAGUAGUCAUAGGGUCGCUCUGAAGCUGAACUGAGGACUAACAAAGGUCUUUCCCUGGAUCUCAACGCAUAGCUAAAAAUCAGAAGAUGUGAGAAGUCCUCAGACCGGUUUGCUCAUCCUCUUGACCAACUGACAAGUGCAUGGUGAGGUAGCAAGUCUGUUGCUGCACUGUCACUGGAGCCCACUUGUCUGUGGUUCCAUCCUCUACUGAAGACCAGCUGAGACAUCCAGCCUCGGGGACUGAGAACUUCUGGAUUCUUGGACUUUGCUUCCUACCCAGCUGUUGAAGAAUUUCCUGGACUGCAGUCUGAUAAGGACUUGCCCUCAGCCUUCCAUUGGUGAAGCCAAGGCGAUGAAGCGCUUCUGUCCCUGUUUUGUCAAAGAUAUGUCAGAUUCUUCAGAGCAGAAAUUGCAGAGUGCCCAUGUCUUGCCAGCCCUGAGUCCACAAUGUUCCAAGUGUUUCUGUGGAGAGCCAAGCCACUCGUAUGAGGAUAACUGGAUUGUAGAUUAGGAACCAUACUACCUUCCUCAUGUAUUUGAGAGCUGGGACUGCCUGAGAUACCGUCCUGGAUUGAACUGUACCAUGAAGAGGGGCACUGAGGUCUUCCAGAGUGAGAGCCGUGGGGAGCUACAAGUGUCCCUAGGAGACAAAUACGAAGACACAGGAGAGCCAGACCAACCCUCACCAAGCUUGCUCAGGAAAAAUGGGCUGGAACUUGAGACCUGUGAGGGUAAAGACUUCCCUGACCAGGAUUCUGCUCCUGACAGUCCCAGAUGCCUUGACUGCUGCCCAUCGUUUCAUAUGACUUGGCCAGAAAAAAUGAAAAAGCUUUGCAGAACUGUGUUUGGAGCCCAGGAGUCCUGAUGCCUACCAAGACUUGUAAUUAGAGGAUCUUCUGACAGCUCCUGCUAUUAUGGGGACACCCCUGCCUCUCACACACAAAGGCAGUUGUGUCCUUGCAGCCAUCUGUUUGUUUGUUUGUUUUUUAACAGCC
This is a long non-coding RNA of Rattus norvegicus (Norway rat), 2762 nucleotides long. Ensembl lists it as uncharacterized. The record is from Ensembl. NCBI's taxonomy places the organism in Eukaryota, Metazoa, Chordata, Mammalia, Rodentia, Muridae.